GCCCAGGUGGCCUAGUUGGUUAGGGCGCCAGACUCAUAGGGUAAUUUGAAGAGGCGCUUUCAGUCUCCUGAGAAAUCUGGAGGUCACGGGUUCGGAUCCCGUCCUGGGCA
RNAcentral lists this transfer RNA (110 nucleotides) under Candidatus Methanoperedens nitratireducens. RNAcentral describes it as "Candidatus Methanoperedens nitroreducens tRNA". It matches the Rfam family "tRNA". Rfam says of the family: Transfer RNA (tRNA) molecules are approximately 80 nucleotides in length. Their secondary structure includes four short double-helical elements and three loops (D, anti-codon, and T loops). The record is from Rfam by way of RNAcentral. Lineage: Archaea; Methanobacteriati; Methanobacteriota; Methanomicrobia; Methanosarcinales; Candidatus Methanoperedentaceae.